This is a non-coding RNA of Malus domestica (apple), 1212 nucleotides long. NCBI's taxonomy places the organism in Eukaryota, Viridiplantae, Streptophyta, Magnoliopsida, Rosales, Rosaceae. The record is from RefSeq and is a predicted model, not a curated record.
GUCCGGAGCUUGAAGACGCAACAAUGAAGGACUUUCAGGUAAAUGGGAACACCCUCUCUCUUGCUCUCUUCACUCAAGUCACCAACUCCAAGGACUGCUUGAUUUGAUGCAAUCAAGGACACUAAACGCAGAAGUCGCAUUCCUGAAUGCUUCGCUUAUCCCAGAUGUUUUCCCUUUACUUGCAGCUGCACAUAAGACUCUUGUAUCCAAGUCCCGAGAGUCACUGACAACACGCACUCUUCAUUCUGAGCUUGUUUACAAUUACUCAGGAUCCAAGCAUAUCACAGAGUCCUUGAAAAGAUGUGGGAUUUCUGAAAGCUCAACCUAUGUGCUUGCCGCUCGUUUCAAUGCUUCUUUUGAUGAGAUAAGAUCACUGUCUCAUGAAAUGCCUGGUAGAUCAAGCGUUACAUUGCUUCAGUAUAUCCGAAAAUUGUUAGCACUUUCGACUUUAAUCAUGUUCAUGUUAUAAAAGAUAGAACAAAAAGCAGUAGAGAAACUUGUCAAUGGGAAAGAGAUUGACUUGGAGGAGUUAGCAGGGAGAGCAGAUCAAGCCCAAAUACAAAAGCACUAUAAGAUAACAAGUGUGGAGCUAGGAAUAUCGUCACUUGAUGAUGCUAUUACAUGCCGGAUUGCUUCUCGUGAUGCCUUGUGAGAAGAGCAGGUUGAAACUUGUUUAUGUUCUACCCUUUCCCCCUAGUUUUCUUGUGCCCAACUACUUUGAUAGAUUAUAUCUCUGUCUAGAAUGAGGUUGAUGUUCUGGGAAUUGAGGUCCGAACUGCAAAGCUAUGUUUGUAAGGUGGUGUAGGAAACAGAAACAAUGUAGCUUAUUAUUUCUGUUUGGGCAAAUUCAACUGCCUGUUUUAAUAUGUAGAUUACUUAUAGGCAAAGCCAAAAUUUGAAAGACGUGAUUAUGCAACUGAUGGCUCCAUUGUGCCGUUUCUACUUGAAAAGAGUCGAUAAGAUUCGUUAUCACAAGCCUCUCAUGAUUUGGUCUAGGCUUGUUCAGUUCCCAAAAUCCUUCCAAGAACGAGUUCUAUUCUACAGAUGGCAGUUAUAGCUCGACGGACUGCUAAUUAUAAGAUGCAAAGCUAAUCUCCCCCAAAUGUCAGCAAUUAGUCCAUCUGUGUUCUUUGUUAUGUAGCUAGUGAAACUUGUGGUUUCCUGAUUUUCAUGUGCCCUAUACACUGAAAGGUAUGAUGUCUUCUUACUCAA